This 221-nucleotide ribosomal RNA is filed under the name uncultured bacterium. Its description in RNAcentral is "partial 16S ribosomal RNA". It matches the Rfam family "Bacterial small subunit ribosomal RNA", at positions 15 to 228 of the family's 1533-position model. The record is from RNAcentral.
GAUCAUGGCUCAGGACGAACGCUGGCGGCGUGCCUAAUACAUGCAAGUAGAACGCUGAAGGAGGAGCUCGCUUCUCUGGAUGAGUUGCGAACGGGUGAGUAACGCGUAGGUAACCUGCCUGGUAGCGGGGGAUAACUAUUGGAAACGAUAGCUAAUACCGCAUAACAGUAGAUGUUGCAUGACAUUUGCUUAAAGGUAGCAAUUGCAUCACUACCAGAUGG